CCUACGGGAGGCAGCAGUGGGGAAUAUUGCACAAUGGGGGAAACCCUGAUGCAGCGACGCCGCGUGAGGGAAGAAGUUUUUCGGUACGUAAAGCCCUAUUAGCAGGGAAGAAAAUGACGGUACCUGACUAAGAAGCCCCGGCUAACUACGUGCCAGCAGCCGCGGUAAUACGUAGGGGGCAAGCGUUAUCCGGAUUUACUGGGUGUAAAGGGGGCGUAGGCGGGAUCGCAAGUCUGGUGUGAAAUCCUAUGGCUUAACCAUGGAACUGCUGUGGAAACUAUGCUGCUAGAGUGGGGGAGAGGUAAGCGGAAUUCGUGGUGUAGCGGUGAAAUGCGUAGAGAUUAAGAGGAACAC
RNAcentral lists this ribosomal RNA (354 nucleotides) under uncultured bacterium. RNAcentral's name for it is "partial 16S ribosomal RNA". It matches the Rfam family "Bacterial small subunit ribosomal RNA", at positions 338 to 709 of the family's 1533-position model. The record is from RNAcentral.